RNAcentral lists this transfer RNA (75 nucleotides) under Verrucomicrobiota bacterium. RNAcentral describes it as "Verrucomicrobia bacterium (groundwater metagenome) tRNA-Gln". It matches the Rfam family "tRNA". From Rfam's summary of the family: Transfer RNA (tRNA) molecules are approximately 80 nucleotides in length. Lineage: Bacteria; Pseudomonadati; Verrucomicrobiota. The record is from RNAcentral.
UGCCUCGUAGUGUAACCAGCAGCGCGCCGGUCUCUGACACCGGAGGUCCUGGGGCGGAACCAGGCGAGGCAGCCA